Long non-coding RNA from Oreochromis niloticus (Nile tilapia), 1494 nucleotides. RefSeq lists it as uncharacterized. The transcript has 2 exons. NCBI's taxonomy places the organism in Eukaryota, Metazoa, Chordata, Actinopteri, Cichliformes, Cichlidae. The record is from RefSeq and is a predicted model, not a curated record.
UUUAAAAAGCUAAUUAACACACAGGGGAGCACAAGCAUGAGAAUCCAAUUCAGAAUCAACAGCUAGCUUAACGUAAAAAGACACACUAACACACAAACACGUCAGACUCUGAUACCAACACCCGCUAAAGAGGUUGGCCUAACUGCUGGUGCCGUAUCUCUGUAUCUAGCUAGCUGUUAAACAGCUAAUGUUAGGGAUGUGUUUGUUAGCUAGCAUGUGUGAUUAGCUAAGGCAGUUAGCCGUAGCUUUAAACUCCACAUUCCACUGGAAAUAACAGCUGCAUACUUUAAAAAUGUAUAAUACAAAGCCAAUAAAGAGCCAUGUAUUUUUAGGGCGAUCUGCGUUAGCGCACUAACGGAGAUUUGCCGCGUUAAUGCGGUUAUGGCGUUAACAGCAUUUUAACAAGAUUAACGUUGACAGCACUAGUAUGUUUUUUUCCCCUUCAAUGUAGGUGGGAAGUCAUUGCACUAUCUCUGUGCUAGUGCACAUUCACUACAAAGGAGACAGUAUAAAACAAUGCACUACUGUACAUACACUUUACUACUUAGACUGCAUACGUGCACUUUAAAUUCAUGUCAUCUAUAGUAACCAAGCAUUCAUGUGUUACCAAGAAGUAUUUAAAUGUAUUAAAAAAAACCCACACACGAAUGUGCAGUUAGCACAUUUGAGUAUCGAUGCUAAAUGUAAGAAUGUAGCUAAAACCAUAAGGUGCAUUGAUCUUCAGACAAGCCGUGACAGUCAAAGCCAGUUGCACGCACUCACACACACACACACACACACACACACUUUUAAUCUCUUGUAAGUGAAUUCAAGAAUGCAGCUACCCAAGCUGUCAAGGCAUGAAGUGCAGUCGCCCACGAUCCUUCAAACAGACACGUGCGUUGACUGAAAGUUAAUCAGACACGUCCCUCCACCCCCUGCACGCACAAACACACACUCUCAAACCCAUGUAACACUGUAAAAAAAACCCACUUGCUGUAGUGCAUUUUCACACUGAAUCAAAACAGCCUUCUUUUUUUUUUGCCUAAAACCCCCUAGUGGUAGUCAGACCUCGUGCUGUCACUGCUCAUCAGUCAAGCGUAGGAGGGGAGAGCUUUGACUAUCUGCUGCAUGUCACCGCAUGUGUGUGUGCAGCCUUUGAAAGGCCCUGGGGCCUGGGAUAGCUUCCCAGCCUCUUCCCUUAUCCCACUACCUAUUCCACGGGGGAAGGGGGGGGACUCAGCUCUUGAUCCAGGCUUUGACCUUAUGCUGCCCUCCUGUUUUGCCAGGACAGGCACAUAUUGAAGGUGCACACUUACACAUCUACACACUUUGCUAUCUUGUCCCUUGUCACCUUUUACAUAAGGCAGAUUUUCUGCAGUGUUCAUUCAAUCAAAUGUUCAGGCCUAAGCAGAAUUUAACAGUAGUCCUCAAGGUUUAAUUUUGGAAGGGUAAGAUUAGUAACUGAAGAGUCAGCACAAGCCCAAAUCAGUAACAGUACCAAUACCGAAGACC